Molecule: ribosomal RNA, 207 nt
Filed under: uncultured bacterium
Lineage: Bacteria
Description: partial 16S ribosomal RNA
Rfam family: Bacterial small subunit ribosomal RNA
Source: RNAcentral
CACGCAGGCGGUUGGUUAAGUCAGAUGUGAAAGCCCCGGGCUCAACCUGGGAAUUGCAUUUGAAACUGGCCAACUAGAGUAUGUGAGAGGGGGGUAGAAUUCCAAGUGUAGCGGUGAAAUGCGUAGAGAUUUGGAGGAAUACCAGUGGCGAAGGCGGCCCCCUGGCACAAUACUGACGCUCAGGUGCGAAAGCGUGGGGAGCAAACA